This is a non-coding RNA of Acanthosepion pharaonis, 107 nucleotides long. Lineage: Eukaryota; Metazoa; Mollusca; Cephalopoda; Sepiida; Sepiidae. The record is from the annotation of a GenBank genome assembly.
CAUAUCAUAUUGAAACACCGGUUCUCAUACGUUCACCGAAGUUAAGCAACGCCGAGCCUGGUAAGUAUCUAGAUGGGUCACCGCUUGGGAAUAUAAGAUGCUGUAAG